RNAcentral lists this ribosomal RNA (498 nucleotides) under uncultured bacterium. RNAcentral describes it as "bacterial SSU rRNA". It matches the Rfam family "Bacterial small subunit ribosomal RNA", at positions 30 to 524 of the family's 1533-position model. The record is from RNAcentral.
UGAACGCUGGCGGCAGGCCUAACACAUGCAAGUCGAGCGGUAGAGAGAAGCUUGCUUCUCUUGAGAGCGGCGGACGGGUGAGUAAUGCCUAGGAAUCUGCCUGGUAGUGGGGGAUAACGUCCGGAAACGGACGCUAAUACCGCAUACGUCCUACGGGAGAAAGCAGGGGACCUUCGGGCCUUGCGCUAUCAGAUGAGCCUAGGUCGGAUUAGCUAGUUGGUGGGUAAUGGCUCACCAAGGCGACGAUCCGUAACUGGUCUGAGAGGAUGAUCAGUCACACUGGAACUGAGACACGGUCCAGACUCCUACGGGAGGCAGCAGUGGGGAAUAUUGGACAAUGGGCGAAAGCCUGAUCCAGCCAUGCCGCGUGUGUGAAGAAGGUCUUCGGAUUGUAAAGCACUUUAAGUUGGGAGGAAGGGCAGUAAAUUAAUACUUUGCUGUUUUGACGUUACCGACAGAAUAAGCACCGGCUAACUCUGUGCCAGCAGCCGCGGUAAU